Molecule: ribosomal RNA, 309 nt
Filed under: Triticum aestivum (bread wheat)
Lineage: Eukaryota; Viridiplantae; Streptophyta; Magnoliopsida; Poales; Poaceae
Description: partial small subunit ribosomal RNA
Source: RNAcentral
AGGGUUGGUGUACUGUUGAAGCUAGACUUCGGAAAAGCAUAUGAUAAAGUGAUUUGGGACUUCCUGUUGGAAGGCCAUAAACUUAGAGGCUUUAGUGACACGUGGUGUGGGUGGAUCAAACAGAUUCUGUAUAAUGGUACGGUUAGUAUCAAACUAAAUAACUAUGUUGGACCUUACUUUCAAAGUGCAAAAGGGGUUCGUCAAGGCGACCCCCGUUCUCCUUUUUUGUUUAAUCUAGCUGCUGAUUGCCUAGCUAAGAUGAUUACUAAUGCACAAAACAAACAACCUGUUAGUAGGGCUAGCUCUUGA